This 250-nucleotide small RNA is filed under the name Vicugna pacos (alpaca). RNAcentral's name for it is "7SK RNA (ENSVPAG00000016309.1)". It matches the Rfam family "7SK RNA", at positions 1 to 248 of the family's 331-position model. From Rfam's summary of the family: 7SK was discovered as an abundant small nuclear RNA in the mid-70s but a possible function has only recently been suggested. Two independent studies have found that 7SK RNA binds the CDK9/cyclin T complex (known as elongation factor P-TEFb). P-TEFb activates transcription by phosphorylating the C-terminal domain of RNA polymerase II. Lineage: Eukaryota; Metazoa; Chordata; Mammalia; Artiodactyla; Camelidae. The record is from RNAcentral.
GGAUAUGAGGGUGAUCUGGCUGUGACAUCUGUCACCCUAUUGAUCACCAGGGUUGAUUCGGCUGAUCUGGCUGGCUAGGCGGGUGUCCCCUUCCUCCCUCACGGCUCCAUGUACGUCCCUCCCGAAGCUGCGCGCUUGGUGGAAGAGGACGACCAUCCCCGAUAGCGGAGGACCGUUCUUCUUGGUCAAGGGUAUACGAGUAGCUGCGCUCCCUGCCAGAGCCUUCAGACAAGCUCUCAAAAUGGUGAUU